RNAcentral lists this ribosomal RNA (253 nucleotides) under uncultured bacterium. RNAcentral describes it as "partial 16S ribosomal RNA". It matches the Rfam family "Bacterial small subunit ribosomal RNA", at positions 524 to 776 of the family's 1533-position model. The record is from RNAcentral.
UACGUAGGGUGCAAGCGUUGUCCGGAAUUAUUGGGCGUAAAGGGCUCGUAGGCGGUCUGUCGCGUCAGGAGUGAAAACUCGGGGCUCAACCCCGAGCCUGCUUCUGAUACGGGCAGACUGGAGGUAUGCAGGGGAGAACGGAAUUCCUGGUGUAGCGGUGAAAUGCGCAGAUAUCAGGAGGAACACCGGUGGCGAAGGCGGUUCUCUGGGCAUUACCUGACGCUGAGGCGCGAAAGCCAGGGGAGCAAACGGG